Molecule: transfer RNA, 71 nt
Filed under: Phrynosoma platyrhinos (Desert horned lizard)
Lineage: Eukaryota; Metazoa; Chordata; Lepidosauria; Squamata; Phrynosomatidae
Description: tRNA-OTHER
Source: RNAcentral
GCCAGCCUGGCAUAGUGGUUUGAGCACUAGACUAUGACUCUGGAGAUCACGGUUUGAUUCCUAGCUUGGCC